GUCGAGAAUCUUCCGCAAUGGGCGCAAGCCUGACGGAGCGACGCCGCGUGGAGGACGAAGGCCUUCGGGUUGUAAACUCCUGUCACGGAUUAAGAAUUCCAUGCUAUGAACAGUGGUAUGGUUGACGUAAGUCCGAGAGGAAGCACUGGCUAACUCUGUGCCAGCAGCCGCGGUAAUACAGAGAGUGCAAACGUUGUUCGGAAUUACUGGGCUUAAAGCGCACGUAGGCGGCGCCGCAAGUGCGGGGUGAAAGCCCACGGCUUACCCGUGGAAUUGCCUUGCAGACUGCGGUGCUAGAGUGUGGUAGGGGAGAGCGGAACUCCUGGUGGAGCGGUGAAAUGCGUAGAUAUCAGGAGGAACACCGGUGGCGAAGGCGGCUCUCUGGUCCACAACUGACGCUGAGGUGCGAAAGCUAGGGGAGCAAACGGGAUUAGAAACCCGGGUAGUCC
Molecule: ribosomal RNA, 449 nt
Filed under: uncultured bacterium
Lineage: Bacteria
Description: bacterial SSU rRNA
Rfam family: Bacterial small subunit ribosomal RNA
Source: RNAcentral